UCUCCGUAGGUGAACCUGCGGAGGGAUCGUUACUGAGUGAGGGCCCCCGGCCCGACCUCCAACCCUUUGUGAAUUCGACCCAGUUGCCUCGGGGGCGACCCGGCCUUCGGGCGUCGGGGCCCCCGGUGGACCACCCAACUCUGCAUCGUUGCGUCUGAGUCGAAAUAUAAAUCAAUCAAAACUUUCAACAACGGAUCUCUUGGUUCUGGCAUCGAUGAAGAACGCGC
RNAcentral lists this unclassified non-coding RNA (227 nucleotides) under uncultured fungus. RNAcentral describes it as "sequence contains ITS1, 5.8S rRNA gene". The stretch from base 180 to 227 matches the Rfam family "5.8S ribosomal RNA", at positions 1 to 48 of the family's 154-position model. The record is from RNAcentral. Lineage: Eukaryota; Fungi.